Molecule: long non-coding RNA, 668 nt
Organism: Hemibagrus wyckioides
Lineage: Eukaryota; Metazoa; Chordata; Actinopteri; Siluriformes; Bagridae
Exons: 2
Source: RefSeq, a predicted model, not a curated record
AUAAGCGCCACUUCCUCAUCGACUUCAUUUGACCGCCACCUCCCAAGUUGCUUCAGAUCAUCCUGACCUCGCACGUUGCCCUCCACAACAAUGUCUCAGUCAGCCCCGCUAUCUUCCGGAGAGGUCCCAGGAGUGCUCUGCGACGCUAUCGCCAGUACCAGCUGUCUUGCCGGGCCAUUGAGCUUACUGGUUUCCUGGAACACCUAUCUAAAUCUUCUAUUCCUGAGUCUCCUCACCUCGCUCACCACAUCGUGAGAGAUACCGUCUGUCUUGAUCAGAACACCCAAUUUCACCCCACAACCUGUGAUCAGUCUACUCAGACCUUCUACUGGCAUACUGGCACCACCUCUCAAGGCGUCCAAACUGAGGACUUCCCUGUUGAGAUCUCCUCUGAUGAUUCUUCCUCUGACUCUUCUUCACCUCCUAGUUCCCCUGACGUUCCCCAACGUUCUCCUGGAUUUGUGCCUUUGCCUUACAGUAUUCACGAUAUUCCCCAAUCUUCUCCUGUCUAUUCGCCUCCAGUUUCUCCCACUGAUUACUCUCCAACUUCUCCUCAGGAACCUGAGAUCCCGUCUUCUACAACUGACCCUCUGGUCCCACUGAUCCCACUGGAUAGGCUGACUGACUGAGCUGUAACUCCUAAUGUUCCAAUAAAUUUCUCUUUUCUA